UACGGAGGAUGCAAGCGUUAUCCGGAUUUAUUGGGUUUAAAGGGUGCGUAGGCGGAUAUGUAAGUCAGCGGUGAAACUCACAGGCUCAACCUGUGCCGUGCCGUUGAAACUGUGUAUCUGGAAUGCGGAUGCUGUGGGUGGAAUGUGUGGUGUAGCGGUGAAAUGCUUAGAUAUUACACAGAACACCGAUUGCGAAGGCAGCUUACUAAUCCAUCAUUGACGCUGAGGCACGAAAGCGUGGGGAUCAAACA
RNAcentral lists this ribosomal RNA (251 nucleotides) under uncultured prokaryote. RNAcentral's name for it is "partial 16S ribosomal RNA". It matches the Rfam family "Bacterial small subunit ribosomal RNA", at positions 524 to 774 of the family's 1533-position model. The record is from RNAcentral.